RNAcentral lists this ribosomal RNA (488 nucleotides) under uncultured bacterium. RNAcentral describes it as "bacterial SSU rRNA". It matches the Rfam family "Bacterial small subunit ribosomal RNA", at positions 17 to 507 of the family's 1533-position model. The record is from RNAcentral.
UCAUGGCUCAGAUUGAACGCUGGCGGCAUGCCUUACACAUGCAAGUCGAACGGUAACGGGCCUUCGGGUGCCGACGAGUGGCGAACGGGUGAGUAAUGUAUCGGAACGUACCUUUCAGUGGGGGAUAACGUAGCGAAAGUUACGCUAAUACCGCAUAUUCUGUGAGCAGGAAAGCAGGGGAUCGCAAGACCUUGCGCUGAUUGAGCGGCCGAUAUCAGAUUAGCUAGUUGGUGAGGUAAAGGCUCACCAAGGCGACGAUCUGUAGCGGGUCUGAGAGGAUGAUCCGCCACACUGGAACUGAGACACGGUCCAGACUCCUACGGGAGGCAGCAGUAAGGAAUAUUGGUCAAUGGGGGCAACCCUGAACCAGCCAUGCCGCGUGCAGGAAGACGGCCCUACGGGUUGUAAACUGCUUUUAUACGGGAAUAAAUCUCGCUACGUGUAGUGAGUUGAAUGUACUGUAAGAAUAAGGAUCGGCUAACUCCGUG